CCUACGGGUGGCAGCAGUGAGGAAUAUUGGUCAAUGGACGCAAGUCUGAACCAGCCAUGCCGCGUGCGGGAUGAAGGUUCUAUGAAUUGUAAACUGCUUUUGUAAGAGGGUAAACACUGAUACGUGUACCGGGGUGAAUGUAUCGUACGAAUAAGGAUCGGCUAACUCCGUGCCAGCAGCCGCGGUAAUACGGAGGAUGCGAGCGUUAUCCGGAUUUAUUGGGGUUAAAGGGUGCGUAGGCGGUUUGAUAAGUCAUGGGUGAAAUGUCGGGGCUCAACCCCGAAACUGCCUCUAAUACUGUUAGACUAGAGUAUGGGAGCGGUAGGCGGAAUGUAAGGUGUAGCGGUGAAAUGCUUAGAUAUCGUACAGAACACCGAUUGCGAAGGCAGCUUGCCGACCCAUAUCUGACGUUGAGGCACGAAAGCGUGGGUAGCAAACAGGAUUAGAUACCCCUGUAGUC
This 460-nucleotide ribosomal RNA is filed under the name uncultured bacterium. Its description in RNAcentral is "partial 16S ribosomal RNA". It matches the Rfam family "Bacterial small subunit ribosomal RNA", at positions 338 to 795 of the family's 1533-position model. The record is from RNAcentral.